UGGGGAAUUUUGCACAAUGGGGGAAACCCUGAUGCAGCGACGCCGCGUGAUUUAGAAGGCCUUCGGGUUGUAAAAAUCUUUUUUACGGGAUGAAAAUGACAGUACCGUAAGAAUAAGGUCCGGCUAAAUACGUGCCAGCAGCCGCGGUAAUACGUAUGGACCGAGCGUUGUCCGGAAUCAUUGGGCGUAAAGGGUACGUAGGCGGCCUAGUAAGUUAGAAGUGAAAUAAUAUAGCUCAACUAUAUAAAGCUUUUAAAACUGCUGGGCUUGAGAGAUGGAAGGGAAAGUGGAAUUCCUAGUGUAGCGGUGAAAUGCGCAGAUAUUAGGAAGAAUACCGGUGGCGAAGGCGACUUUCUGGUCAUCAUCUGACGCUGAGGUACGAAAGCGUGGGUAGCAAACAGG
This 402-nucleotide ribosomal RNA is filed under the name bacterium. RNAcentral describes it as "partial 16S ribosomal RNA". It matches the Rfam family "Bacterial small subunit ribosomal RNA", at positions 355 to 776 of the family's 1533-position model. The record is from RNAcentral.